AUUGAACGCUGGCGGAAUGCUUUACACAUGCAAGUCGAGCGGCAGCGCGGGGCAACCUGGCGGCGAGCGGCGAACGGGUGAGUAAUGCAUCGGAACAUGUCCAUGUCGUGGGGGAUAGCCCGGCGAAAGCCGGAUUAAUACCGCAUACGCUCGGGAGAGGAAAGCCGGGGACCGCAAGGCCUGGCGCGAUUGGGUUGGCCGAUGUCCGAUUAGCUAGUUGGUGCGGUAAAGGCUUACCAAGGCGAUGAUCGGUAGCUGGUCUGAGAGGAUGAUCAGCCACGCUCGGAGGGGGAAACGGCCCAGCCCCCUACGGGAUGCAGCAGUGGGGAAUUUUGGACAAUGGGGGCAACCCGGAUUCAGCCAUUCCGCGUGAGUGAAGAAGGCCUUCGGGUUGUAAAGCUCUUUUGUCCGGAGCGAAACGGGCGCGGCUAAUACCUGCGUCCACUGACGGUACCGGAAGAAUAAGCACCGGCUAACUACGUGCCAGCCGCCGCCGUAA
Molecule: ribosomal RNA, 499 nt
Filed under: uncultured bacterium
Lineage: Bacteria
Description: partial 16S ribosomal RNA
Rfam family: Bacterial small subunit ribosomal RNA
Source: RNAcentral